GGUUUUUUUUGUUUGUUUGUUUUUUCUUCCAAAGGCUUUUGACUUAUUUUGUUGGACUGUUGUCAUGUAUUGAAAUAAUAUGAAUUAAUAGUGGCUAACUGUGGAUUAAGCAGAACACAUACUGUUUGUUUUUUUUGCUAAAACUUUGAUAUGCUGUUCACAUUAACCAAAAGGGAAGCAUGUUAAAUAAUUCAAGUUACAUGAAAUGUCUCAGUCUAGAAAAUUUAUAGUUUAGGGCAACAAAAAGUAUGGAGGCGCACGAAGUUCCAGCAGCACAGCCUAACCAAGCAACUUUUAAUAUGUACUCCAACACAACUGGCUGUAAAUAUGGCUUGAGUCAGUGUAACCACAUUUCUGCUGGAGGCUUUCUCUCACCCAGACCCACAGGCUAAGUUGCUGUCCUGAGAAAAGGAGAUGUAUAACAAGCAGAUACAACUUUAGAAAACCUGACACAUUUUGAUCUUUGGAUGACGUCCCAGAAAAACACCAGAGUGAGUUGAAGCUGUUAGAAGGAGCUGUCUGGGUGCGAGUCUCCUCAGAGUGCUUCUGUCAUGUGAAGGCAGCUCUCAGUCCUGCCUGUCUGUGUCUUUGACCAGAGAGCUGUGUGCGCCCCAUCCCUGGAGGUGCGCAAGGCCAGGCUGGAUGGGGCAGGGCAGCCUAAGCUAAAUGGUGUGUGUAUAUGGGUGGGGGCAGCAUGGCAGGCGGUUGGAACCGGGUGGGCUUUAAGGUGCCUUCUACCCUAAGCCAUGCUGUUGU
This 756-nucleotide long non-coding RNA is filed under the name Coturnix japonica (Japanese quail). RNAcentral describes it as "lncRNA (ENSCJPG00005000710.1)". Lineage: Eukaryota; Metazoa; Chordata; Aves; Galliformes; Phasianidae. The record is from RNAcentral.